Magnolia sinica is the source of this 604-nucleotide long non-coding RNA. RefSeq lists it as uncharacterized. The transcript has 2 exons. NCBI's taxonomy places the organism in Eukaryota, Viridiplantae, Streptophyta, Magnoliopsida, Magnoliales, Magnoliaceae. The record is from RefSeq and is a predicted model, not a curated record.
UGUAAUUUUUGUCCUCGAUGAUGAGAAAUCCAUAGGCUUGUUUCUCAAAACAUUCGCAGUGGCCGCCUGAGAGCUUUCGCCUUGCCGGGCUUGAGAGCUUGUGCUGCUUCAAUCCUUCCUUGGAUGUCUGAGACUCCUCUAUUUUCAUUGUUCCUUCGAAGGUAGUUUCAUAUGUUCUGCUAUCUAUCUAGGUUUUUGAAUUUCCCCUUUUAUUCUUAUAUUGGGUUUUUUUCCUAUUUGUAUGAAAUGCAAAUUUGGGAUUGUCUAUGAUGAAAAAUCCAAAGGCUUGUUUCUCAAAACAUUCGCAGUGGCCGCCUGAGAGCUUUCGCCUCGCCGGGCUUGAGAGCUUAUGCUGCUUCAAUCCUUCCUUGGAUGUCUGAGACUCUUCUAUAUUCAUUGUUCCCUCGAAGGUACCCAAGUAAGGAUGGUUGGUGUUCACGAUGGAUCUAAAUUGGCACAUGGAUCAUCUAGACAUCUACCACCCUCUGCCAGAGUAUCAAAGUUUUUUCUCUUUGGGUUGUUUUACAUUCUGUCUGGUUGCGUUUGGUCAGAUAAUAGAAUAAAAUCUGAUCAAAACCGAGGAAAGAUGCUCGUGGAUGUGUGA